Molecule: ribosomal RNA, 432 nt
Filed under: uncultured bacterium
Lineage: Bacteria
Description: partial 16S ribosomal RNA
Rfam family: Bacterial small subunit ribosomal RNA
Source: RNAcentral
AACGAACGCUGGCGGCAUGCCUAACACAUGCAAGUCGAACGAGACCUUCGGGUCUAGUGGCGCACGGGUGCGUAACGCGUGGGAACCUGCCCUAGGUUCGGAAUAACUCCCCGAAAGGGGUUCUAAUACCGGAUAAUUUCUUCGGACCAAAGAUUUAUCGCCUUUGGAUGGGCCCGCGUUGGAUUAGCUAGUUGGUAGGGUAAAAGCCUACCAAGGCGACGAUCCAUAGCUGGUCUGAGAGGAUGAUCAGCCACACUGGGACUGAGACACGGCCCAGACUCCUACGGGAGGCAGCAGUGGGGAAUAUUGGACAAUGGGCGAAAGCCUGAUCCAGCAAUGCCGCGUGAGUGAUGAAGGCCUUAGGGUUGUAAAGCUCUUUUACCCGGGAUGAUAAUGACAGUACCGGGAGAAUAAGCUCCGGCUAACUCCGUG